Molecule: unclassified non-coding RNA, 7774 nt
Filed under: Pectinophora gossypiella (pink bollworm)
Lineage: Eukaryota; Metazoa; Arthropoda; Insecta; Lepidoptera; Gelechiidae
Description: kalirin
Source: RNAcentral
UGUUCGUCAGUUUGUCAUUAUGUUCAGCUUGUGUGUUUUUAUUAAGUUUUAGGACUCUAAUGAAUUUAGUUUUUACGAAAGUUUUAGUGGAAAUAACAACAGUGACAAUAAUGCGUGCCGAACCUUUUAUACCUGGCUAAUUGACAUCAUUGAGUCACCACGGCUUCUCCAAAGAGGUGGUUGAGGUUGGGAAGCCAUGGAGGUCGGAGCGCGGGCUCUGGACGUGCUCCCACUGCUCCAGGAGCGGGUGGCGUGCCUCACGGGGGGCCGCGACCGGCGCGGGGGACCCAUCGUGUGGUUCCCCGCCAGCUCGCGCCGGGACCGCAUCGCGCCAGAUGACUAUAGGCGGCUGCUUCACUACCUGAUGAGCAUACCGAGCGAUUCCGUAAGGUCUCACAACUUCACCAUCUUGAUUGACAUGAGAGGUUCAGCUUGGGCCGCGAUCAAACCAAUACUUAAGAUUCUACAAGAAAACUUCCCUUCAUCCGUCCAUCAGGCACUGGUAGUUAAACCUGACAAUUUUUGGCAGAAGCAACGCACAACGAUAGGAGCACAUAAGUAUAAGUUUGAGACGACAAUGAUAAGUUUAGAAGCACUACCUAAAGUGAUAGAUAGCUCACAAUUAACGCCUGAUUUGGAUGGCACACUACAGUAUGACCACGCACAGUGGAUAGAUCUGAGACUGGCUUUAGAAGAACUGUUAUGGCAAGCGGGAGAGUUGUUAGACCGCCUGGACGAUCUGCAAGAGGACGUGGCGCGCGCCGACUUCGCGGAUGACGUCACGGGAGCGCGCCGGGCCAUCGACGCACACGCGGACAUCAGCAAGAGGCUCGCCAAAGUUCCCGUCGACGAACUUGAAGCGCAGGGCGAGCGGGUGUUGCAAAGACUGCAGGCUGCUGAAGCGGCGUGCGCGGAGGCCAGCGGCAGCGGCGGCGAGGUGGCGGCGUUCCACUGCGGCUCGCCGGGCGCCGUGCGCGCGCAGCUCUCCGCCGUGCGCUCCGCACACGCGCACGCGCACAAACUCUGGCAGCACAAGAAGAUGCAGCUCGACCAAUGCUUCCAGCUGCGGCUGUUCGAACAAGACUGUGAAAAGAUGUUGGAGUGGAUCGUGAACCACCGAACGGCGUUCCUGGCGACCUACGUCGAGAUCGGCCGGUCGUGUGCUGCCGCCAAACGACUGCAAGAGGAACAUGCUAGGUUUGCUGCGGCAUGCACGGGCGGUGGGCGGCCAAGUGUGGCGCGCGUCACGACCGCGGCGCGGCGGCUAGCGGACAAGAGGCACUACGCUGAGGCUCAGAUCACCUCGCUGGCGCACCGCCUUGAGAGGGCUUACAAACAACUAUCUGCAGGUCUAGAAGAGCGUUCAGCGGUGUUGUCGCUGUCGGUGGUGUUCCACCACAAGGCGGAGGCGUACGCGUCGGCGGUGGGCGGGGGGGGCGCGCAGUGCGCCGUGGCGUUGCAGCUGGCCACCGGGCAGGGCGGAGCACCCUGCAACGACCCGCGGGCGCUCGAGCAGCACGCGCAGCGGCACCGGCAGCUCUACGAGCACAUGUGUCAGGCAUACACUGAGGUCCAUUCAACCAGCAAGAAACUGCUAUACCAACUAGACCACUUAGUUCAAGUGUGCCAUCAGACCGACCCUGCUGAUAUGAGCGAGGGCAGCGUGAGUACGGCAGGCAGUAGCGGCGGCGACCCCGCGGCCGACUACAGCUCGGGCGCCAACCACGUGCUCGCUGUCAUACACCAGAUACUCGGACAUCACCGCGCCCUCGAGGCCAGAUACCACCAAGCCCGGCUGAAAUUGCACCAGCGACUGGCACUGCUGCUGUACAAGGAAGACUGCAGACAGGUCCUCGACUGGCUGGCCAACCACGGAGAAGUGUUCCUGCAAAAGAACACAGGAAUAGGAAGGAAUCUCGCCAAAGCAAGGGUCUAUCAGAAAUCUCACGAACACUUCGAAAAUGUUGCACAAAACACGUACACAAACGCGGAGAAGCUGCUAGCGGCGGCGGAGGAGCUGGCGCGGUCAGGGGAGUGCGACCCCGAAGAAGUGCUGGGCGUGGCGCGAGAGCUGGAGGCGCACGUGGCGGCCUUCGCGGCACGAGUGGAUCGCCGCCGGCGCCGCCUCGACCUCGCCGUGCUGCUUUACACACACGAGAAGGAGCUCCUGCAAUGGCUGGACACGCUGCGGAGUGGCGGCGGCGUGUGCGCAGCGGACGACACGCCUGAGGCGGCACGGCGUGCGCUCGAGCAGUGCGCUCAGCACCGCGCCGCCAGCCUCGACGCCUGCGCCGCCACCAUCGCGCAGGGGGAGGCUCUGCUGCAGGACCUCAGGUCUUCAGGCGACGCGGACGCAGCGAGCACGGCGGCCGUGGAGACUACUCUGGAACGGCUGCGCGGCACCCGGGGUGCCCUCGAGGAACUGUGGUCGGACCGCGAGCGGCGGCUCGAGCUCACCCUGCAGCUGAGGCAUUUCGAAAGGGAUGCGCUUGAGGUGUCGUCCCGGUUGGAGCUGUGGGGCGACGAGUUGCAGCGCACGGAGCCGCCGCGGGACCCGCAGCAGGCCGAGCAGGCGCUGGCGGCGCACAACGAGAGUGUCGCUAGGAUGCAACAUGCUACUUACCAGGUGGUCCAACAAGGGCAGGAGUUAGCGGCGGCGAUCGCGGAGGCGUCCGACGUGAUGGCUUCAAGUGGGUCGGAAGGCACGGAGGCGGCUCCAUUAGAUGCGCAGGCGCGCGUGCAGCUGCUGCUAGAGUUCCUGCAUGACCGCCAGCUGGAUUUAGAAGAGCUGGCUGAGGAGCGGCGCGCGCGCUUUGAGCAGUGCGUGCAGCUCGGUCAGUUCCAAAAAGACGCAGCUCAAGUAGUGAGCUGGAUUCGCAACGGGGAAGCGAUGCUGGCGGCGUCCUUCUCGAUCCCCGGUACACUGGCCGAGGCUGAGCAACUGAAGCGAGAGCACGACCAGUUCCAAGUGGCCGUUGAGAAGACCCACGCCAGCGCGGUGCAGGUCAAGUAUAGAGCGGACGCUCUACGCGCGGCCAACCACUACGACCCGCACACCAUACGCGAGAUAUCUGAAGAGGUGACGGAGCGAUGGCAGCGCCUGGUGACGUGUGCAGAGGAGCGCCACAAACUGGUCACGGCUUCGCUUAACUUCUACAAGACGGCCGAGCAGGUGUGCUCGGUGCUGGAUUCACUGGAGCGCGAGUACCGGCGUGAUGAGGACUGGUGCGGCUCCUCGGCCGCGCCCCUCGCUGACGAACACGCACCCGCCAACAUCGACAAGGCUGCCCAUGUGGCAGCGCUGAUAGUGAAGCACGGCGAACAGAAGGAGGCGUUCCUGAAGGCGUGCACACUCGCGCGGCGCACAGCCGAGACGUUCCUCAAGUAUGCGGCGCGGUCGGCGCAGGUGCACGGCCAGACGCCCGCCGCCAGCAAGGCGCACCACGAGCAGACGCGCGCCAUCCUCGACACGCUGCUGGCGCAGGAGAACAAGGUAUUGGAGCUAUCGACAUUCCGCAAGAAGCGCCUGGAACAAUGCCAGCAGUUCGCUCUGUUCGAGCGGUCUGCGCGCGCGGCGGUGGAGUGGAUCCGCGAGACGCAGGAGCGGUGUGGCGCGGCAGCUGCGGCGGCGGCGGCGGGCGUGGCGCGUGAGAGCCGCGAGCGCGUGCGCCUGCUGGCCCAGCUGGCUGAUGGACUCGUCGAGAAGGGGCACCCACACGCCGUGCAGAUCAAGGAGUGGGUCGCCGCGGUUGAUGCCAGAUAUGCGGAGUUCAGCGGUUCGAUGGAGGGCGGGGAAAGCGAGGCGGAGAGCGACAGUGGGGUGGCGCCUUCGCUGGCGUCCUCGCAGUCCGCGGAGGGUGACACCCGGGCCGAGCCCCCGCCGCCUGCGCCCGGCGACGAAAAGCGACGCAGCGCCCGCCGCAAGGAGUUCAUAAUGGCGGAGCUGCUGCAGACGGAACGAGCGUACGUCAAGGACCUGGAGACGUGCAUCACGUGUUACCUGCGCGAGAUGCGCACCGACCCCGCCGCCGUGCCGCCCGCGCUGCAGGGAAAGGAGGAGAUAAUAUUCGGCAACAUCGAGGACAUAUACCGGUUCCACGAGCGCGUGUUCCUGCGCGAGCUGAACAAGUACGAGACGAUGCCCGAGGACGUGGGCCACUGCUUCGUGACGUGGGCGCGCGAGUUCAACAUGUACGUCUCCUACUGCCGCAACAAGCCCGACAGCAACGCCGCCGUCGUCCAGCACGCCGGGGACUACUUCGAGAGAGUGCAACGUAAGAAGAAAUUGGAGCACCCGCUGGCGGCGUACCUGAUCAAGCCGGUGCAGAGGAUCACCAAGUACCAGCUGCUGCUCAAGGACCUGCAGGCCUGCUGCCAGGAGGGCCAGGGCGAGAUCAAGGACGGGUUGGAAGUCAUGCUGUCGGUGCCGAAGAAGGCGAACGACGCGAUGCACCUGUCGCUCCUUGAGGGGUGCGCAGUGCCCGCGGACAGCCUGGGCGAGGUGGUGCUGCAGGACUCGUUCCACGUGUGGGACCUGCGUCAGAUCAUCAAGAAAGGCCGCGAGCGCAGGGUCUUCCUCUUCGACCUUCAUCUGUUACUCGCCAAAGAAGUCAAAGACUCGCACGGCAAAGCCAAAUAUAUCUACAAGACUAAGUUUAUGACGUCGGAGCUGGGCGUGACGGAACACAUCGAGGGCGACGAGUGCAAGUUCUCGGUGUGGACGGGCCGCGAGCCGAUGGCCAGCGACUGUCGCAUCGUUCUCAAGGCGCCCUCCCUAGAGGUCAAGCAGACCUGGGUGCGCCGCCUCAGAGAAGUCAUACAGGAAACCUACUUCAGCGGCGUGCUGCCCCCGCGCAGCCCGGCGCGCGUGCGCCCCACCAGCUCGCAGCGAUCCAGCAGGGACCUGGACGGGGAAGCAAUGCUGGAUGAGAUCACGGAGAACCUGGACAGGAACUCGCUGGCGUCCUUCGGGAGCGGCAACACCACUGACUCCGACAAGGCGGAGAUGACGUCAUGGGUGAUAGCGGAGCACGCGGCCGGCAACGCUGGCGAGCUGAGCGUCUCCAAGGGCCAGCAGGUGGAGGUGGUAGAGCCAUGCCAGGGGCGCACCGACUGGUGGGUGGUACGCAUCCCGGGUGAGCCGCCCCAGGAGGGUGCGGUGCCGGCGCAGGUGCUGAAGCCGCAACCGCAGCACCACCCGCAGCAGAAGACUUCGCCCUCGCGCCGCCCGCUCAGCCAGCCCUGCGAGGAGGUGCUCGAAGCUACAAACUCUGACCCGGGGGGCAACGUGAGCGCCGCCAGCCCGGGCAAGCAGCGACGCGGUUUCAGUGGAAGGCGAUGGCUGGGGCUCCGCAAGCCGUCACAGGGCAAAGCCCCGAGCGGGGCGCAGUCUCCGGCCACGGCGGACAAACCAGCGCCGCUCAAGAAAGUACCUUCUAAUAAAGCAAUAAAGACGUACGCGAGCGGCGAGAGCGCACGCGCCGAACAUGAGGAUGCGCAGGCGGCGAGCGCACUCGACGAGACAGAGGACGACGCACCCGACGUGGAGCUGCCGCCACCCAUGAAGCCCAUACAGGACCCACAGACCGUGUUGCAGGCGCCGACGCCCGCGGCCGCCACCGCCGUGCCCGCCACGAGAACCUCCUUGUCGAUGGACGCUUUGGAAACUAACGGUGGUCCGGCCGAUAUCGCGGAGAUAGAACAAAUUGUCAAGGAGAAAAUGGAGCAACACGGCGGCGGCGCCAGCGGGUCGGGCAGCGCGCGCGGUGAGGGCGAAGAGGACGAGGUGCCCGGCACUCCGGGACCGGAUUCUGCAGACGCCAUCCUCAAGAAACGGGAGUACGUCCUCAGGGAGCUCGUUGACACUGAGGAAAUCUACGUCACUGAUUUAAGACUCAUCUGCGAUGGAUACAUGCGACACAUGCAGGAUCCAAACGCGGAGCCUCCGUUGCCAGAGGGGCUGCGCGACCGCCGCCACCGCAUGAUCUUCGGAAACAUCGAGGCCAUCUACGAGUGGCAUCGAGAGCGGUUCCUGCGCGAGCUCCGCGCGUGCAUCGACGCGCCGGAACUGCUGGGCCCGCUGUUCCGCCGCUUCCUCGAGAAGAAGAUGUUCCUCUACGAGGCGUACUGCCGCAACAAACCCGUCUCCGAGUACAUCGUCUCCGAGCACGACCAUUACUUCCAGGAGCUAAGGCAGAAGCUCGGACACAAGCUGCAGCUGGGGGACCUAUUGAUCAAGCCGAUCCAGCGCAUUCAGAAGUACCACCUGCUGGUGAAGAAGAUCCUGACGUACUCGGAGAGCGCCAAUGUGCCGGCCAACGUGAUCGCAUCGCUGCGAGAUGCCGUCACCUGCACCUCCAUCAUACCCAAGAACGCCAACGACAUGAUGGACGUCGGUCGCCUCCAGGGCUUUACGGGCAACAUAACUGCGCAGGGCAAACUGCUGCUGCAGGAGCCGCUGCAGGUCUCUGACGCCAACAGCGGCAGCGACAAGGGCAAAGAAUUGCACGUGUUCCUUUUCGAGCAGUGCGUCAUCUUCAGUGACGCCGUCGGCAAGAAGACUCAGUUCACCAGCCCCACAUACCACUACAAGGCUCACGUUCAGGUGAACAAGAUGGACCUGGAGGAAGUAGAGGGCGGGAACGCGUUCAUCAUCCACUCGCUGGACCCGAACAAGCCGAAGCAGUCCUACUUGUGCCGCGCCGGCGAGGCGCGCCGCCAGCAGUGGAUCGCCACGCUGUCGAGCAUCCUGCGCUCGCAACGAAUGUUCGGCGAGGCGCUCGAGAACCCCGGCGCGUACCUGCGCGAGCUCACCCGCGAACCACCCGCCGAAGGGCUUCGCGCUGGCGAAGGUUGGUGUGGGCUCCGUAAGACGGAGAGCGUGCCGCCUGGGCUGGGUGGGCGGCUAGCGCCGGAGCUGCGCGCGCGCACCCAGCGGCCACACGCCAAGGCCAACACCAUCAACCUGCCCACCAGCACCAUCCGCGACGACCGCGGCAAGGCCGCCGCCAACGUCGCCGCCAACAACGCCGCGCUCAGCCCCACCUCGCCGCCACACAACGUAAGUACAUCACAAAAAUAAAGGGACUACAUACCAGGUUUCACCUAACAAGUAUAUUUCGAACUGCACUUAGACAAUGUAAGCUAAAAACAAAUGACAAAUUCACGCAAGGCAUGGCGUAAAGACUAACUGUAGAAAUAUAUUGGGGAACAAGCAAAACAAGGGACUUUAUAUAACGCUAUUACGCUACUAUGACGAAACUUAGUUCUGCACAGGUUGCAAUAUCACUCAAAAACCGUCGCUUUCGAUUUUCGACCUAAAAACGCAGCGAAUGCUGUCUACUUACAUAAAAGUCGUACGGAUAUUGAUCGAUUCCCGCUAUAUCCGUCGCCCCGUGCGCGAUUGCAUAACCGUGCAAUCCCCUUGCAAGACCCUGCUGAAACCUGUCUUAUCGAAAAAGCCAAACCGUCAGUCGUACUUUUCUACUUAGUCGCAAAAUUAGUUACACUAGAAGUAAAAGCUAACCUAAGAUGUUAAAAAUCAAUCUCAUUUUUCGUUUUAACUUAUUUACGAAUUUUACAUAUGAAUUACGUAACAAUAAGGACGACGUGUGACCACGUUUAUAGAUACCAUCACCUUUUUGUGUACUCUCACGCAAACGUCAUGUAUAUUAACCGUUUUAACGUUUCGAAAAAGUAUUUCAUUUCACUAGGUCGUCAUCUGACAAUAGGCCAGUAGACCAAUAGGCUAGAUAGCCCAUUGCUGAGUACUCAA